GGGUUUAAUAAUAGAAUGGUUUCUAUUUAUAUCAAGCGAAGAUAUAAUUCAUUUUAAUGAAUAAGGUUCAAUUCCUUUUAAAUCCA
RNAcentral lists this transfer RNA (86 nucleotides) under Agaricus bitorquis. Its description in RNAcentral is "tRNA-Arg". Lineage: Eukaryota; Fungi; Basidiomycota; Agaricomycetes; Agaricales; Agaricaceae. The record is from RNAcentral.